GACGAACGCUGGCGGCGUGCUUAACACAUGCAAGUCGAACGGUGAAGCGAGUGCUUGCACUCGUGGAUCAGUGGCGAACGGGUGAGUAACACGUGAGUAACCUGCCCAUCACUCUGGGAUAAGCACUGGAAACGGUGUCUAAUACUGGAUACGACCAACCCUUGCAUGGGGUGUUGGUGGAAAGAUUUAUCGGUGAUGGAUGGACUCGCGGCCUAUCAGCUUGUUGGCGGGGUAACGGCCCACCAAGGCGACGACGGGUAGCCGGCCUGAGAGGGUGACCGGCCACACUGGGACUGAGACACGGCCCAGACUCCUACGGGAGGCAGCAGUGGGGAAUAUUGCACAAUGGGCGAAAGCCUGAUGCAGCGACGCCGCGUGAGGGAUGACGGCCUUCGGGUUGUAAACCUCUUUCAGCAGGGAAGAAGCGAAAGUGACGGUACCUGCAGAAGAAGCACCGGCUAACUACGUG
This 469-nucleotide ribosomal RNA is filed under the name uncultured bacterium. RNAcentral's name for it is "partial 16S ribosomal RNA". It matches the Rfam family "Bacterial small subunit ribosomal RNA", at positions 28 to 507 of the family's 1533-position model. The record is from RNAcentral.